RNAcentral lists this ribosomal RNA (426 nucleotides) under uncultured Myxococcales bacterium. RNAcentral's name for it is "bacterial SSU rRNA". It matches the Rfam family "Bacterial small subunit ribosomal RNA", at positions 353 to 772 of the family's 1533-position model. Lineage: Bacteria; Pseudomonadati; Myxococcota; Myxococcia; Myxococcales. The record is from RNAcentral.
AGUGGGGAAUUUUGCACAAUGGGCGAAAGCCUGAUGCAGCAACGCCGCGUGUGUGAUGAAGGUCUUUGGAUCGUAAAGCACUUUCGACCGGGACGAACACCCUUUGGCUAACAUCCAGGGGCCUGACUGUACCGGGAGAAGAAGCACCGGCUAACUCUGUGCCAGCAGCCGCGGUAAUACAGAGGGUGCAAGCGUUGUUCGGAAUUAUUGGGCGUAAAGCGCGUGUAGGCGGCUUUGCAAGUCGGGUGUGAAAGCCCUCAGCUCAACUGAGGAAGUGCGCCCGAAACUGCAGAGCUUGAGUACCGGAGAGGAUGGCGGAAUUCCCCAAGUAGAGGUGAAAUUCGUAGAUAUGGGGAGGAACACCGGUGGCGAAGGCGGCCAUCUGGACGGAUACUGACGCUGAGACGCGAAAGCGUGGGUAGCAAA